This 192-nucleotide unclassified non-coding RNA is filed under the name uncultured fungus. Its description in RNAcentral is "sequence contains ITS1, 5.8S rRNA gene". The record is from RNAcentral. Lineage: Eukaryota; Fungi.
GUAUUUGAAUUAAGUAUUCAUACAGGUUUUCAGACAAAGUUGUUAAAAAUAAGAGUUGAUGUUUACAUCCUGUAGCGCAAAUGACAAGCAUUCGCGUUACAAGACAACAUUGCACACAAGGUGGAUAUGGAUUUAAAAAGUGCCAUAAAACACUUAUUAUGAAUGAUCCUUCCGCAGGUUCACCUACGGAAA